AUACGUAGGGAACGAGCGUUGUCCGGAAUUACUGGGCGUAAAGGGAGCGUAGGCGGGAUGGCAAGUCAGAUGUGAAAACUAUGGGCUCAACCCAUAGACUGCAUUUGAAACUGUUGUUCUUGAGUGAAGUAGAGGUAAGCGGAAUUCCUGGUGUAGCGGUGAAAUGCGUAGAUAUCAGGAGGAACAUCGGUGGCGAAGGCGGCUUACUGGGCGUUUACUGACGCGGAGGCUCCAAAGCGUGGGGAGCAAACAGGAUUAGAUACCCGGGUAGUCCACGCUGUAAAGGAUGAUUACUAGGUGUGGGGGGACUGACCCCUUCCGUGCCGCAGUUAACACAAUAAGUAAUCCGCCUGGGGAGUACGGCCGCAAGGUUGAAACUCAAAGGAAUUGGCGGGG
This 396-nucleotide ribosomal RNA is filed under the name uncultured bacterium. Its description in RNAcentral is "partial 16S ribosomal RNA". It matches the Rfam family "Bacterial small subunit ribosomal RNA", at positions 523 to 918 of the family's 1533-position model. The record is from RNAcentral.